GAGGAAGCAGGUGUCUUCUGCUUUGUCUA
Molecule: non-coding RNA, 29 nt
Filed under: Rattus norvegicus (Norway rat)
Lineage: Eukaryota; Metazoa; Chordata; Mammalia; Rodentia; Muridae
Source: RNAcentral